GAUGAACGCUAGCGGCAGGCUUAACACAUGCAAGUCGAGGGGUAGGGCAGCAAUGCCUGAGACCGGCGCACGGGUGCGUAACGCGUAUGCAAUCUACCUUGUACAGGGGAAUAGCCCAGAGAAAUUUGGAUUAAUGCCCCAUAGUAUAUUUGAAUGGCAUCAUUUAAAUAUUAAAGUUCAGGCGGUACAAGAUGAGCAUGCGUCCCAUUAGCUAGUUGGUAUGGUAACGGCAUACCAAGGCAAUGAUGGGUAGGGGUCCUGAGAGGGAGAUCCCCCACACUGGUACUGAGACACGGACCAGACUCCUACGGGAGGCAGCAGUGAGGAAUAUUGGGCAAUGGACGCUAGUCUGACCCAGCCAUGCCGCGUGCAGGAAGACGGUCCUAUGGAUUGUAAAACUGCUUUUGUACGGGAAGAAACCCUAUUACGUGUAAUAGAUUGA
This 442-nucleotide ribosomal RNA is filed under the name uncultured bacterium. RNAcentral describes it as "bacterial SSU rRNA". It matches the Rfam family "Bacterial small subunit ribosomal RNA", at positions 28 to 472 of the family's 1533-position model. The record is from RNAcentral.